UUUAGAGCUUUUUUUUGUAAAAGAGUUAGAAACAGUUUUAUAAAAAUAUUUUUUAAAAAGGUUUUUGGUUUUUAUUUAUGUAUGUAACAUUUUGUUAAUAAGAUAAGAAGAAUAAGACAAUAUGUUUUCCUUUUAUGUAUAGCUCCUGUUUUGUAACAAACAAAACAUUUUCACACAGUAAAGAAAAGUCUUUAUCAACUUUCUCAAUUACAAAAAGAGAAACAUUUUUUCCAAUAUUAGAAUUACUGCAUUGCCCAAAUAAGUGAAAUAGGGACUCAGAAUAGUGCUUACAAAAUCAACAAUUUAUCAAUAUAUUGUUUAUAUAUCUUACUUAGAGAGAAUUGACUGGUAUGUACCAUGAAUAAUUCUAAAAGGUGCAGUAUUUUUCAUUGAGAAAAAGCCCGUCUAAUGACAUCAUACUUCAGGAAGUGACAUCUUUUGGAGGGAAAGCAACAAACCGCGAACGUAAGAGUUAAAAGUGGGCCCGAAUGUGGCAUGAGUGACCUACAUGUGUGAUGGAGUCUAUAAAGUCACUCCAUCCAUGUCUCCCUGUGCAAGACGACUGCAUGUGGCUGAAAGUUGAUCCCAGAUUCCUGGAGUGUUUCUCGGCAGUCAAGGACGUCUGACCCGCACUCAUUUAUACAACAUUUUGUGCCUGUCAUGAUGACCCGAAAUGGAAGGUUUCCACAACCAUUUAGCAGAUGCUUCCAUCCAAAACGACAGUUUGCAGAUUGCAGGCACGGUCCCUUAAGAGCUUCUUGCUUAAGGGCACAUUUUGGGAUCUCAGACACUCUCCAGUUACACGAUCACCUCUAUAUUUUGGACACAGUCUACUGUACCCAUAGAGAAAACACUAAAUCAUUCAUGCCCCACAUUAUGCUGUAUCAUGGCCC
RNAcentral lists this long non-coding RNA (893 nucleotides) under Danio rerio (zebrafish). RNAcentral describes it as "lncRNA lnc.5 (ENSDARG00000117290.1)". The record is from RNAcentral. Lineage: Eukaryota; Metazoa; Chordata; Actinopteri; Cypriniformes; Danionidae.